AUCUUGGGAUCCGGAGAGUGGCCGGGCCGGCAGAGCAGAGGGCCGCGGACACCAGGUCUGUUCUCAGAGCGAUGGGCUGCGGAGACUGAUCUGCCGCCAUGAUUGGAGGCUUAUUCAUCUAUAAUCACAAGGGGGAGGUGCUCAUCUCCCGAGUCUACCGAGAUGACAUCGGGAGGAACGCAGUGGAUGCCUUUCGGGUCAAUGUUAUCCAUGCCCGGCAGCAGGUGCGCAGCCCCGUCACCAACAUUGCUCGCACCAGCUUCUUCCACGUUAAGCGGUCCAACAUUUGGCUGGCAGCAGUCACCAAGCAGAAUGUCAACGCUGCCAUGGUCUUCGAAUUCCUCUAUAAGAUGUGUGACGUGAUGGCUGCCUACUUUGGCAAGAUCAGCGAGGAAAACAUCAAGAACAAUUUUGUGCUCAUAUAUGAGCUGCUGGAUGGUGAGGCUGGCGGGCUGGCACGGCAGCGGGCGUAGGGUGGGAAAAAACCAGGCUGGGCCUGGCCUGAAGAGAUUCUAGACUUUGGCUACCCACAGAAUUCCGAGACAGGCGCG
This 551-nucleotide small RNA is filed under the name Pan troglodytes (chimpanzee). RNAcentral's name for it is "processed transcript". The record is from RNAcentral. Lineage: Eukaryota; Metazoa; Chordata; Mammalia; Primates; Hominidae.